RNAcentral lists this ribosomal RNA (253 nucleotides) under uncultured bacterium. RNAcentral describes it as "partial 16S ribosomal RNA". It matches the Rfam family "Bacterial small subunit ribosomal RNA", at positions 524 to 776 of the family's 1533-position model. The record is from RNAcentral.
UACGGGGGGGGCAAGCGUUGUUCGGAAUUACUGGGCGUAAAGGGCUCGUAGGCGGCCAACUAAGUCGGACGUGAAAUCCCCAGGCUCAACCUGGGAACUGCGUCCGAUACUGGAUGGCUUGAAUCCGGGAGAGGGAUGCAGAAUUCCAGGUGUAGCGGUGAAAUGCGUAGAUAUCUGGAGGAACACCGGUGGCGAAGGCGGCAUCCUGGACCGGCAUUGACGCUGAGGCGCGAAAGCGUGGGGAGCAAACAGG